UAUAACAGCUCAUAACAAUUUGUCUGGUUAUUUAAAAUAUAACAGAAUUCAUGACUUCUAACCAAACACUAACAUGAUUUCAAAAAAAUAUAAAAAAUAUAUUUACUAACAUGGACUCAACUCUGUCUAAUUCCAUUCCUUUAAGCAUGAAUAUUCACUGAUUUCAUGCCAAAUGUGUUAAAAAUAUUCAGCUGCCUAGACAUUUGGCAGCCUUACCAACCAUAAUUUAACACAGUUCCAAAAUAGAAUACUAUACAGAUUUAAAUUUUGAACACUCGAAUUUUGAAUCUUACUAGGGAAUAGGGUGUUGAUGCUGACAUUUAAUUACAACUAGAAACAUUAACUAUCAAACUAAUUAAUACAUGUAAUGCUAAGCAAAAGAAGAGAAAAUCUGGAAGGGAAGUCUAAUUUCAUUUAAACAUAUUGCAGCUCCCACUUCAUUUUGCACUUUCAAAGUUCGAAACAUACCUGAAACAACCAAAAUAGUCACAUUAAUUUAGCAAAUAACUAACAAUCUCAGCAGAUCUUAAAAUAGCAACCAACAUCAGUUCAUCAAUCAACUUUCAUAUUUUGCAACCCAGAAGUAAACAUCAAAUUAUCCUAGAUUUUAAAACCCAAAUAAUAUCAACAAACCAGCUACAAUAGAACAGUACUUGAUGAUUUUUUUGUAUCUUUUUUCUUUCUAAUUUUGGGACCUAUAUCAGUGUGUAUGAUUUCAGCUGUUUGCUCCCUUUUCAGGUCACUAAUCUCUUCUUAUAAAUGAAAGGAAAUGAACCUUAUAUAACCAGCUCCUAGGGCAACAAAAUCUGAUUCUAUACUUCACUAUUUACCCCUUCUCCAAUUUUUAUUUUUUCAUUUUGGACCUGUAGUUAAAACCUGUUUGUUAAUCUACCCUCAAUCCCACCUUUCUGGAAAUUUUCUAAGUGGUUUAAGGAAGAUUCCCCUUAUUAAAUUCCUUAAACUACCCUUUACAAGGCUGAUAAUUACUUUAACAUAGACAUUGGACCAAACUGCCCAAAUGUCUUUGGGCUUCUGUACCAAAUGAACUUCAACCAGUUUUUUGGGCUACUAGCAAACCCAAGUUCAAGUCUAAACCAAUGAAUUCACAAGAAAAAUAAGAAAACCAAAAUAACCCAAUUCUGAAUUCUAGUAACAUGAAAUCUUCUUAACGAAGCAGAAUAAGAAUAAUAAUUAAAAAAGAAGUAAAAAGGAAAAAAGGAAAAUUAACAAAUGCUAACAGAGAAUUUAAUUGCUUCUUAACCUAUUAUUAUUACCUAAUUAAACGACUGAAAAACCUGUGAUUUCUAAACCCAACUGAGAUGAAGAAGAAGAGAAGUACCGGCUAGAUCGAUGGCUCACAGGUGAUGGCAUCCGGCGUGAAGAAUCUCAACCCCAUGGUGUGAACUUUAACAUUGAACACUAGCAAGAAUUUCUUCCAUAGCUUGUGCUCUUUGUCACAGUCCCCAUCACGAGUCAAGAAUGAAGAGGAAAUAGAGAUAAGGGCCUAUCGGAGACUGUUGACCAAACUUGGCCACCAUGCACAGAUAGAGCCCUCAACCAAUUGGCUUUUCCAUAUCGAAACUGGUUGAUUCACACGUUUUAACACCAAGAAGAAACUAGAGUGGGCGGAAAUCAAAAGAAAAGGGGUGAAGGGAUUUUCAGUGCUAACUUCGAUCUCUGAUCUUGAGAGAAUGGGUGGUUUGGGAGAGAAAACAAGGGUGGAUUUGGAAUGGAGGUACAGCGGAGGUUACCUGGUCAAGAUUUGAAGGGUUUUGAGGUAAACUGCCGCCGCUGGUGAUUUUCGGUGGGCGGCGGACGGUGGUGAGAGAUAGGGUGUGAGGGAGAUGAAGAGAACGGAUACUAGGUUAUUCUGAAAUGUUUGGACAAUUUUAAUUAAAAUGGGGGAAGUCUUUA
This 1914-nucleotide long non-coding RNA is filed under the name Nicotiana tabacum (common tobacco). RNAcentral describes it as "long non-coding RNA (NTAB_LNC009500)". The record is from RNAcentral. Lineage: Eukaryota; Viridiplantae; Streptophyta; Magnoliopsida; Solanales; Solanaceae.